This 465-nucleotide ribosomal RNA is filed under the name uncultured bacterium. RNAcentral's name for it is "partial 16S ribosomal RNA". It matches the Rfam family "Bacterial small subunit ribosomal RNA", at positions 28 to 507 of the family's 1533-position model. The record is from RNAcentral.
GACGAACGCUGGCGGCGUGCUUAACACAUGCAAGUCGAACGGAAAGGCCCUGCUUGCGGGGUGCUCGAGUGGCGAACGGGUGAGUAACACGUGGGUGAUCUGCGCUCCACUUCGGGAUAAGCCUGGAAAACUGGGUGUAAUAUCGGAUAGGAGCCCUUCUGCUUGUGAUGGUUGGAAGGUUUUUUGGGUCUGGGGUGGGCUCCCGGCCUUUUAGUCUGCUGGUGGGGUAAUUGCCUGCCAAGGCGGCGACGGGGAGCCGGCCUGGGGGGGUGGACGGCCAACUUGGGGCUGGGAUACGGGCCAGGCUCCUACGGGGGGCAGCAGGGGGGAAAAUUGCACAAAGGGCGGAAACCUGGUGCAGCGAAGGCGCGUGGGGGAUGACGGGCUUCGGGUUGGAAACUCGUUUCGCUAGGGACGAAGCUGUUUGUGACGGUACCUGGAUAAGAAGCACCGGCUAACUACGUG